This is an RNA transcript of Venturia canescens, 1695 nucleotides long. RefSeq lists it as uncharacterized. The transcript is spliced from 7 exons. The record is from RefSeq and is a predicted model, not a curated record. Lineage: Eukaryota; Metazoa; Arthropoda; Insecta; Hymenoptera; Ichneumonidae.
GUGGUUGCCCAGGUUGCACGUAUAUUGACGUGUUAGGUUAUGAUCCCCGAAGAGCUAUUGCGUGCGGAGUGCAAUUCAAUAAAUGAUGAAUCAUGGUUAAUUAAAAGUAAAUAGGAGCGAGCCUCCAAAGUAUCAGGAAAUAUCCGGCGAUUUACAGAGCUGCAGUUUAAUUGCAAUCAGAGUUUUACCUCUAGUAUUACUUCAGGAAAAUCAAGUUCAACCUGGAUUGCAAGUUUUCAGGACGUCAUCCUGGACGGACAAGCAGAAUAUAGAUUCUUGCGUAUUUGUUAGGAGGCGUUAUCAUCUUUCAAUGGGGCGAGACACAAGGUCACCGUCUUCUGCUGCCUCAAAUAUUCUCCGCAAAGAGCUUCAAUUUACGGUGAGUCAUAAUAAAAAGCUACCCCCUUUCAUUGCAAAUGACCGAAAUUCUAUUGAUUUUCAUUUCAGAUUUAUUUUGUUCGGGUUCACCACUGUCAGAUUCUUUGGCACUGCGAACUAUCACACCCAAAACCAUGCAGGCGUGACUUUGCAAGAGAUUUAACAAUAUAUUUCACUAGAACGGUCCGGUCGCUUAUAGAGUGGCAAUAUCUGUUUUUCAGUGGUUAUGAUAGGAAAAUAAUGAUGACAGCGUUCUCGAACGUCCUUGAGCACCGUGUGACUAACAAUGACACGAGAUUGAACGAGAUCACAGUCAAAGUAACGAGUCAAUUUUUUUACAUAACGAAGGCGGCGUUAGAACGAGAAGCAAAUUUCUCACGCUACCUUUUCAGUGGACUAUCAUUCCUGUGCUUGUCACAAUUGUGAAAUUUUGUAAACGAAUUGACGGCUGAUGUGGAAGCAAUUGCCGUGGAAAAUGACACCGAGGCUUUGGAUAGCGGGAAUGACGAGAACGGUGGAGACACGAUACUUGAUCCAGACGACGGCUCUGAUUUACUUCGUAUCGUUGAUGAGGAUGAAGAAGAGGAGGAUCUAGAUCUGCUAUAAGAUUCAAUACAUCAUAGAAAUUUGAACCAGUAUAUCCAAGAUUUCCUAACAAAUUUCUUGUCGCAGAACUGCUUCCAAGCUUUCGUUGAGCAUCUGACACCACCGGUUCUCACGAAUUUGAAUAUAAACGCGAGUUAUGCGUGAAAGAGUAAUGAUAAGAAAUGAAAUAUAAAUUAAUCACAAAGCAGACCGCCAUGGAGCAAGUGUCGUUCGUGAUUUCCGUACAAGAAUAAGCACCCGUGACUCCUUUACCGCUCCAGAUUUACCGGAUGCCUUAAACAGUAUUUUCCUUGUCCUCGCGAACAUCCAGGAACCACCGAUUGAACAGUCCACGGUCUCCGACGCCACGUAAACAUCGACAUAAAUACAAAUUCUAAAAAAAAAGAGUUAUAAAAAACGGAAAAAAGUCAAAAAAAGACUCCAACUCGUGAAAGUUGAAAAAAACUUGAUCUCAUCCGCUUUUUUUGUCUACAUAAGAUUUCGACCGAAAUCGUUGUUCGGUAACAGGAGAAUCUAUAAAUCUAUAUACUGAGCUUAGUUAAUCAAUUUUUAUCAGAUAAUGCGCUUUUUUCAAUCUUCUUGAUAAUUUUUUUCUGUAACGACUCAAUGACCGAUUAUAUUUAUUGGUAAAUAAAUUCCAGCUAGGCGUAAGCAUCUAUGUCGACAAUUUCUAUGAAAAAUCAAAUAAAACCUUUCAAAUAUUCAUGAGAA